UCCAAUGACUGAAGAAGACUUCCAGAGCAGAACUAUCAAGGCCAUAGCUCAAGCUUCAAACAUCUCAUUAUUAGAUAGAAUCAAAAGGAUAAAGUGGAAUUUACCAAAAAGGACGGAGAUGAGCUACAAAAGUUCUGAAACCAAGAAGGUGGUCUGAUGCAAACGGUUCGGUUUUAAAUCUAGAUCUAAACACCGGAAGAUCCAAAAGUCUGAUUUCAGGAUCACCCUGUACCACACAUCUCGCCAACAUUUCCUGCCCUGUACAUUUCCAGUUGGAGCUUUACCAUUAUGUACAGGGCUGAUAAAAGAACAGGGAGUUUUAUUGUGUAAGCCUGCAUGCGAGCGUGUAGAUGGUAUACGGAUGUAUGUACCGUGUCAGAGCUAAUUCCCCGUGUGGCUUGUAAUCAUUGCUUUAAACUCCUCUGCUGCACUGUUUAUUACUCUGUUCAAAAUCUGCUGAAGAAAGGACUAAGUAAGUAAGUAAGUAAGUAAAUAAAUAAAUAAAUAAAUGACGGCGUGCCAGCUGACCGCAUCGCUGACUCGGCUAGAGACAACAUUUCUGCCAAAAUGAUCACUAAAAAUACAGGCUGGAGGCGGACGCUCCUGUAUUAUUCCUGUCGGUCAUUUAGACGUUUCCACACACCGCGGAACCUCAGGAUAAAUCGUGAAAAUGCAUGCAAAUUAAUAACAACAGGUACGGGGGCAAAAAAAUCCUCCAGAUAGCCGCAAGCAAAAAAAAAACUUCCUGGAAAAAAAAAAAAGCGAAUAAAAUGACUCAGUCGUUCCUUGUGUGAUGUUAUGAAAUAAUCAGAAGGUUAUAAACCAGGUUAAAGGUUCAAGCAAGCUCUUCCAGUUUGAGUUGGAUAGUUUCAAAAACAACGCUCCUGAGCCGCUUUCUCGAUAACGACAGGCCUUUUGUCUGUUUGUACUGGUUCGUAUCCAAAAUCGAAUACAAAAGCCUUUGUAUAGACGAUAAGUUAAUUUUUUUCCUUUUCUGUUUACCUUGGCGGAAAGCCAAGGAGAAAAGUUGCGCGGGA
Molecule: long non-coding RNA, 1037 nt
Organism: Tachysurus fulvidraco (yellow catfish)
Lineage: Eukaryota; Metazoa; Chordata; Actinopteri; Siluriformes; Bagridae
Exons: 3
Source: RefSeq, a predicted model, not a curated record